RNAcentral lists this ribosomal RNA (1374 nucleotides) under Salmonella enterica subsp. enterica serovar Abony. RNAcentral describes it as "bacterial SSU rRNA". It matches the Rfam family "Bacterial small subunit ribosomal RNA", at positions 142 to 1512 of the family's 1533-position model. The record is from RNAcentral. Lineage: Bacteria; Pseudomonadati; Pseudomonadota; Gammaproteobacteria; Enterobacterales; Enterobacteriaceae.
GAUAACUACUGGAAACGGUGGCUAAUACCGCAUAACGUCGCAAGACCAAAGAGGGGGACCUUCGGGCCUCUUGCCAUCAGAUGUGCCCAGAUGGGAUUAGCUUGUUGGUGAGGUAACGGCUCACCAAGGCGACGAUCCCUAGCUGGUCUGAGAGGAUGACCAGCCACACUGGAACUGAGACACGGUCCAGACUCCUACGGGAGGCAGCAGUGGGGAAUAUUGCACAAUGGGCGCAAGCCUGAUGCAGCCAUGCCGCGUGUAUGAAGAAGGCCUUCGGGUUGUAAAGUACUUUCAGCGGGGAGGAAGGUGUUGCGGUUAAUAACCGCAGCAAUUGACGUUACCCGCAGAAGAAGCACCGGCUAACUCCGUGCCAGCAGCCGCGGUAAUACGGAGGGUGCAAGCGUUAAUCGGAAUUACUGGGCGUAAAGCGCACGCAGGCGGUCUGUCAAGUCGGAUGUGAAAUCCCCGGGCUCAACCUGGGAACUGCAUUCGAAACUGGCAGGCUUGAGUCUUGUAGAGGGGGGUGGAAUUCCAGGUGUAGCGGUGAAAUGCGUAGAGAUCUGGAGGAAUACCGGUGGCGAAGGCGGCCCCCUGGACAAAGACUGACGCUCAGGUGCGAAAGCGUGGGGAGCAAACAGGAUUAGAUACCCUGGUAGUCCACGCCGUAAACGAUGUCUACUUGGAGGUUGUGCCCUUGAGGCGUGGCUUCCGGAGCUAACGCGUUAAGUAGACCGCCUGGGGAGUACGGCCGCAAGGUUAAAACUCAAAUGAAUUGACGGGGGCCCGCACAAGCGGUGGAGCAUGUGGUUUAAUUCGAUGCAACGCGAAGAACCUUACCUGGUCUUGACAUCCACGGAAGUUUUCAGAGAUGAGAAUGUGCCUUCGGGAACCGUGAGACAGGUGCUGCAUGGCUGUCGUCAGCUCGUGUUGUGAAAUGUUGGGUUAAGUCCCGCAACGAGCGCAACCCUUAUCCUUUGUUGCCAGCGGUUCGGCCGGGAACUCAAAGGAGACUGCCAGUGAUAAACUGGAGGAAGGUGGGGAUGACGUCAAGUCAUCAUGGCCCUUACGACCAGGGCUACACACGUGCUACAAUGGCGCAUACAAAGAGAAGCGACCUCGCGAGAGCAAGCGGACCUCAUAAAGUGCGUCGUAGUCCGGAUUGGAGUCUGCAACUCGACUCCAUGAAGUCGGAAUCGCUAGUAAUCGUGGAUCAGAAUGCCACGGUGAAUACGUUCCCGGGCCUUGUACACACCGCCCGUCACACCAUGGGAGUGGGUUGCAAAAGAAGUAGGUAGCUUAACCUUCGGGAGGGCGCUUACCACUUUGUGAUUCAUGACUGGGGUGAAGUCGUAACAAGGUAACCGUAGGGGAACC